Molecule: long non-coding RNA, 238 nt
Filed under: Lathyrus oleraceus (garden pea)
Lineage: Eukaryota; Viridiplantae; Streptophyta; Magnoliopsida; Fabales; Fabaceae
Description: Pisum sativum (pea) long non-coding RNA (PSAT_LNC004691)
Source: RNAcentral
AUAUGGAUAGUGAACAACAUCACACAUUCAAACUCAAGCUUAAUGAACAUGCCUCAUGUUGAGGGCUUCAAAACCAAACAUGGCAUAGUGUUAAACAUCAUAAAGUAAGCAUGGCAUAAUGGAAAACAAUAUGAAGUAAGCAUGGUGAGCAAGAGAAAGCAAGUAGUGAGCAAGUAUGAAUGAGCAUGAGCAAGGCCAUGGAAGAGAGUGAGUGAAAUGUUUACUUAGUGGAUGAAAG